This 497-nucleotide ribosomal RNA is filed under the name uncultured bacterium. Its description in RNAcentral is "partial 16S ribosomal RNA". It matches the Rfam family "Bacterial small subunit ribosomal RNA", at positions 28 to 507 of the family's 1533-position model. The record is from RNAcentral.
GAUGAACGCUGGCGGCGUGCCUAAUACAUGCAAGUCGAGCGAACAGAUAAGGAGCUUGCUCCUUUGACGUUAGCGGCGGACGGGUGAGUAACACGUGGGUAACCUACCUAUAAGACUGGAAUAACUCCGGGAAACCGGGGCUAAUGCCGGAUAACAUUUAGAACCGCAUGGUUCUAAAGUGAAAGAUGGUUUUGCUAUCACUUAUAGAUGGACCCGCGCCGUAUUAGCUAGUUGGUAAGGUAACGGCUUACCAAGGCAACGAUACGUAGCCGACCUGAGAGGGUGAUCGGCCACACUGCAACUGAGACACGGUCCAGACUCCUACGGGAGGCAGCAGUAGGGAAUCUUCCGCAAUGGGCGAAAGCCUGACGGAGCAACGCCGCGUGAGUGAUGAAGGUCUUCGGAUCGUAAAACUCUGUUAUUAGGGAAGAACAAAUGUGUAAGUAACUGUGCACGUCUUGACGGUACCUAAUCAGAAAGCCACGGCUAACUACGUG